Molecule: ribosomal RNA, 439 nt
Filed under: uncultured bacterium
Lineage: Bacteria
Description: bacterial SSU rRNA
Rfam family: Bacterial small subunit ribosomal RNA
Source: RNAcentral
AGGCAGCAGUGAGGAAUAUUGGUCAAUGGGCGCUAGCCUGAACCAGCCAAGUAGCGUGAAGGAUGACUGCCCUAUGGGUUGUAAACUUCUUUUAUAUGGGAAUAAAGUGCAGUAUGUAUACUGCUUUGCAUGUACCUUAUGAAUAAGGAUCGGCUAACUCCGUGCCAGCAGCCGCGGUAAUACGGAGGAUCCGAGCGUUAUCCGGAUUUAUUGGGUUUAAAGGGAGCGUAGGCGGGUUGUUAAGUCAGUUGUGAAAGUUUGCGGCUCAACCGUAAAAUUGCAGUUGAUACUGGCAUCCUUGAGUACAGUAGAGGUAGGCGGAAUUCGUGGUGUAGCGGUGAAAUGCUUAGAUAUCACGAAGAACUCCGAUUGCGAAGGCAGCCUGCUGGACUGUAACUGACGCUGAUGCUCGAAAGUGUGGGUAUCAAACAGGAUUAGA